Long non-coding RNA from Fukomys damarensis (Damara mole-rat), 3077 nucleotides. The record is from Ensembl. Lineage: Eukaryota; Metazoa; Chordata; Mammalia; Rodentia; Bathyergidae.
AUGUGCCUGAUUACAGCAUCGCUUAAAAGAAUCAUAUCUCCUGCUGUCAUCAAAGCAGCCAGAAGAGAAGAUUUCAGACGCUCUGACACAAACGGACAUAAGAAGUGUCUGCCGUGGUGGCCAAGCCACGCACCCACGCCAGUCCGCACACUACGCGUCUGUGCACCGGAUUGGCGUGCUGUGCCCCUACACACAGCGCGGUUAUCUGUCAAAAAAAAUCAACGUCAACGUGAGUUUCAAAAUACCAUGGAAGGACUGAGUGUGUUCUUCAGCACCAUGAUGAGAUUUUCACAGAGCGGGCGCGCAGGCUGGGCAUCUCACUCAAAAAAAUCUCCCUGGGCUCCUAAGACACAGGAGCCUGUGACUUGGGCCCUGGGCCGAGCUUUUCACCUGUGAGCAGCAGCAGGAGAGGAGAUCCCAGCUUCACACAGGAAACGGUCUGCACUGGACACGGCCAGCUGGUGACCUGACACCUGGGGCGUCAGCACGCACCCCCGGACCGCCCCUCCUGAGGAUACCCCGAGACCCAUAAUACGCCCCACUUGGGAUCACAAGUGCUGCGGGGGAGCCUGCUCUGCUUCUUUGAGCGCAUACUUUACUUCUCUGCCUAAGAAAACCCCUUGUGUCUCCUGCGGACGCAUCCGUGUCCUGAAUUUUUCUGUCAUGGGAAGCAGCAAUCCCGCAACCCCAUUCUCCAGGUAGGACGGCUUGAGAAACCUCCUAGGACCCUGCCCGGUGACAGCAGCCGCACGGGCCAGGUAGGGAAAGGGGACAGACAUGACAGGAGCUGAGACCCUGGGGUCCCCUGUGGUCUAAAGCCAGGUGAGGCCCAGGUGUCUUAGUACAACCGCGCUCGGGUUCAGGGGAAUUGGGAUUCUCCCCUGGGGCCCAGUCUCUCCCGCACCCAGGCAACGUCUUGCGCCCCUGUUUAUUGGGGGAAGAAAGCUGGGGAAGCCGGUGUCGCAGGACCACACCGCAGGCCCGCAGUUGGGCUGAGACCCUGGGAGCGGAGCUCCAGGGCUGGGGCUCUGGCUUUGAUGCGGCACCAGAGCUCACACCCCUUGCACACUUUGGUGGCCCAGGCAGGAACGAGAGUGAGACGGGAGGAGGCGCCGCUCACCUGGGCGAGCUCCCCUGUGCCCCCCCCGCACCCCGCAACAGCUGGCCGCAGGGGCAGACGCCUCUUCAGUGGCCUCCUCUGCCCUAACCCUGAAACCGCCACUGCCUGCCACUCCCGGAAGGGAAGCACUGCGGGCGCCAUAGAAACCGAGCGACUCUGGCGGGCUGUAGGGAAAGCGGCCCUGGAGGAGGCGGACAGAGGGGCCCGGAGGAAGGGUCAGCGUCAAGCUGCCGCCCUGUGAGUCCCCACUCUGUGAACCGUCAGCACUGGCAAAAGGCCCUGUGGCCCUCCCUUUACAGAGAGGGGAACUUGAGGCUUUGGAAAGCUAAGCAACCCUUCCAUGGUCUCCAUGCCUGAGUCUGCUGCGUCAGCCCUGGCUUUCCAUCUUCCUGAGGCUUUCGGCUUUCGAUACACCUAGACUCCAUGUCCUAAAGCUAGAAAUUCCAGCCCACCUUGCCCUCUCGUCUGCUUAACGCCCCCUCCUUCCCGGGUGCUGGCCCCACCACCAUAUCUAAAACAGCAGCUGAGGAACUCUGUCCUCUUUCUCUGCUUUAUUUUUUUUCCUUUGUAACUCUUCUCUCUGUUCUGGCAUGUUGCUAGACACCCAUUUUAUAUUAUCUAUCUCCCCACCAGAAUAUAAGUCCCAGGGGGGGUGUCUGUUGUCUUUUCCCUCAUCAGAAUAGGAGUCCUAGGUUGGUAAUACUCUUCCUGCAGGGUGUAGUGAGGGAGCUCCUUGUCCUCUGCUCGAGAUUGCGCUGGCCACCUUGUGCUUGUGUGCAGGGCAGUGUGGAUGGGGUCUGGUUCCCCCCUGCCCCAGACUGUGGGAUUUGUGUCCAGAUCCUCGGUGGUGGCCUGAGGCUGUGGACCAUCGUGAAGCUGCUCAUCACUGUUUUCUUAUAGAUAUACAUGAUAGGAGGGGAACAUCAACCACAAUGAAAUAGAAUAAUUAUAGCCAUGUAUUGUGAUAACAGUUAUUUAAAACUUAGGAAUUAUGUCUGGAAAUUUCCAUGGAAGAUUUCUGGGCCGUGGUUGGCAGUGGGUAACUAAAACCUCGGAAAGCGGGGCUGCUGGGAAGGUGAGGAGUCUCCCCAGUGUUUCCCCUCCUCCUGGUCCACCAGGAGCACUCAGGGCAGCACCCAUCCUGGUCUUUGCCCCACUCUGCCCAGCUCAGGGCCUGCCCUGAGCCCCAAGUUAUUUAAAUGAGCAAAUGCUAUCCUGGCACCCCCGCUAUGAGAGAAAAGGAUGCCUGUUCCACUUGUGAGUGAGUGUGUGUGUGUGUGUGUGUGUGUGUGAAUGCACCCCAUCCCAUACAUUUUUAAAGCAUCCCAAGGCUCUGUAGAAGUCAUCCAAGAUAAAUAGGACGCAGCCCUCCUCUCUAAGCAGCUCAUGAUGCAGUUAGAGAGAGAGGAUCCUCGGCUGGCCUCCGUGAGCAUCCGGGUUCCAGGCACGCCGUUUCCAGGAGUGACCUCGUCAGCCAUACUUGCUCCACGUGGACAGGCGUCAGACUCCGCACCCAGGCCCGGGGAGGCAUCUGGUAGCGUGGGUCGGCUUGGCCUGACUCAGAAUCCUCCAGGACCAGAUGGGACCUUCCAUACAGGAGAGAAAAUGAGCUCCUUACUGAGAGCACAGCAAGGGCCCAGGUGUCUGCCAGCGUCUGGCACACAGGGCAAGCCAGCCGGGGACAUGGCCACCCCUCCGGCUGGCCACUGCCCUGCCCGGUGCUACCCAACAGUGGUGGCCCUGGAGCCCAGCAGCCAGUGUCCCAAGUCCUGAGUCCUCACCCUAGAUGAGGACCAGACCCAGAGGGAGACAGCAGGCUGCUCCUCCCCUGGGGACAGUGACAAGCAGCUGCCCUUUGUUGCCCCUGGGCCAGCCGCUGUGUCCCACUGUGUCCCCACUUCUCAGAAUGCUUAGGACCGGCUGUUAUCAACCCGAGGGAGAGCAGAGACUGACGGGG